Xenia sp. Carnegie-2017 is the source of this 717-nucleotide long non-coding RNA. RefSeq lists it as uncharacterized. The transcript has 3 exons. The record is from RefSeq and is a predicted model, not a curated record. Lineage: Eukaryota; Metazoa; Cnidaria; Anthozoa; Malacalcyonacea; Xeniidae.
GUGGGAAGCGAUUUUUCUUUGAAAGGUCGCUAGAGAACUAAUAUCUUUAAGUUCAUUUGGCAAUGAGUUCUAGUCUUGAUCUGUUCCAAUCCAAGGAAACAGCAAAACGUUUUCGUUAUUUUAUGAAAUUCUUGUGAAACUGAAACACUUUUUUCAUAAUUGAAUCGAUAUAAGCGGUUUUACGUCCCGGAGUCUUUAAAAAUCGGCGAUUAAAACUUGUCGAUUUUAAUUGUUUUACUCGAGGUAUGCAGCUACAAAAUCUACCCAGGUCAUGGAAAAAGAUAUAUACGUCUAGAUGGAAAGUCUUUCAAUUUCCUGGACAAAAAAUGUGAGAGAUCCUUCUUGAUGAGAAGAAAUCCACGAAAGAUUUCAUGGACUGUCCUUUACUGUAGAAAACACAAAAAGGGCUCAGUUGAAGAGGUCUCCAAAAAGAGAAUGAGACGAAAUGUUAAAUUCCAAUGAGCCAUCCAGGGUGCAACUCUUGAAACUAUUUUGGCCAAACGCAAUCAGAAACCUGACGUAAGAAAAGCACAAAGAGAGUAGGCAAUAAGGUAUCAAACACAACUGUCUGGCGUCUUUAAUAUCUAAAAAAUUUCAUCUUUUAUGCUUGACUAGAAGAUAUUUGAUUUUGUUUCUCAGUGAAGAUUCUUUUUUACCUACAUUGUAUGAGUAACAACUGUGAGAAUAUGAAUUAUAAUCAGAGAGAAACAUUGAAAA